This 388-nucleotide long non-coding RNA is filed under the name Physcomitrium patens. RNAcentral's name for it is "long non-coding RNA (PPAT_LNC002360)". Lineage: Eukaryota; Viridiplantae; Streptophyta; Bryopsida; Funariales; Funariaceae. The record is from RNAcentral.
AAAAUUUCACAUUCCUUGAAAUUUUUAGCCAAAACCUUUUCAAAUUGCUUAAGAUAUAGCUCAAGACACAACCACUAAUAAAUCAGAUAACUUACUACCCUUAGAUUGCAUGUUUUGACUUCAAAAUCUAAUUACUCCUUUACUUCAACUUGAAAUCUAGCAAGCAGUAUAUAAAAAGUGUAGCCACAAAAGUGCUCUUUCUAGUCGCAAUCACCGAUCCUCAAUUGCCUUUUGUACGCAUGUAUUAUGUCAAAAAUAGUGACGGUAGCUCCCAAAUCUACACCUUAACUUUGAGCGCCUAUAUCUCCUUCAUAUAAACUUCAAAUCAUACAAAACUUACACCAAAACCAUAGCCAAAAACCUAAACUUGUUGUUCCUAGUCUUCAAA